GUAGGUGGCAAGCGUUGUCCGGGAAUUAUUGGGGCGUAAAGCGCGCGCAGGCGGUUCUUUAAGUCUGAUGUGAAAGCCCACGGGCUCAACCGUGGAGGGUCAUUGGAAACUGGAGAACUUGAGUACAGAAGAGGAAAGCGGAAUUCCACGUGUAGCGGUGAAAUGCGUAGAGAUGUGGAGGAACACCAGUGGCGAAGGCGGCUUUCUGGUCUGUAACUGACGCUGAGGCGCGAAAGCGUGGGGAGCAAACAGGAUUAGAUACCCUGGUAGUCCGCGCCGUAAACGAUGAGUGCUAAGUGUUAGGGGGUUUCCGCCCCUUAGUGCUGCAGCUAACGCAUUAAGCACUCCGCCUGGGGAGUACGGCCGCAAAGGCUG
Molecule: ribosomal RNA, 375 nt
Filed under: uncultured organism
Description: partial 16S ribosomal RNA
Rfam family: Bacterial small subunit ribosomal RNA
Source: RNAcentral